RNAcentral lists this ribosomal RNA (468 nucleotides) under uncultured bacterium. Its description in RNAcentral is "partial 16S ribosomal RNA". It matches the Rfam family "Bacterial small subunit ribosomal RNA", at positions 28 to 507 of the family's 1533-position model. The record is from RNAcentral.
GACGAACGCUGGCGGCGUGCUUAACACAUGCAAGUCGAACGGAAAGGCCCUGCUUUUGUGGGGUUCUCGAGUGGCGAACGGGUGAGUAACACGUGAGUAACCUGCCCUUGACUUUGGGAUAACUUCAGGAAACUGGGGCUAAUACCGGAUAGGAGCUCCUGCUGCAUGGUGGGGGUCGGAAAGUUUCGGCGGUUGGGGAUGGACUCGCGGCUUAUCAGCUUGUUGGUGGGGUAGUGGCUUACCAAGGCUUUGACGGGUAGCCGGCCUGAGAGGGUGACCGGCCACAUUGGGACUGAGAUACGGCGCAGACUCCUACGGGAGGCAGCAGUGGGGAAUAUUGCACAAUGGGCGGAAGCGUGAGGCAGCAACGCCGCGUGCGGGAUGACGGCCUUCGGGUUGUAAACCGCUUUCGCCUGUGACGAAGCGUGAGUGACGGUAAUGGGUAAAGAAGCACCGGCUAACUACGUG